AUUACUACAAUGACAUUCAUCUUCUUCUUGAUUUUAGGAAUGUAUUGUGAAGGUUCUGCAGGACAGCUGACUGUAAUUCAGACUCCAACAGAGAAACAUGUUCAGAAUGGACAAACGGUCACUCUGACCUGUAAAACCAGCAGCUCCAUUGGACGCCAGUCAGAUGGAGAUUGUAAGUCUUGUGUCUCCUGGUACUUACAGAAACCUGGAGAAGCUCCUAAACUUUUAGUUCACAGCAUCAAAACCCUUCAUACUGGAACCCCAUCUAGAUUCAGUGGAAAUGGAGCCGAUCAUGGAACUGAUUUCUCUCUGACCAUCAAUGGAGUCCAGACUGAAGAUACAGGACAUUAUUACUGUCAGAGUUACCACUGGAUCAACAGUAAAGGAGUGUUCACACAGUGAUAAAGAGUCUUACAAAAACCUCCAUCAGUCAGAGUCACAGUGACUGCACUGAUACAGCUGAGAGAUACUGCAGCUGCUCAUAAACACAACGAUGAGCAGAUUAAAAGAAAAAAAACUAAACACUAAUAACAAAAUAACUAAUAACAGCUUAUUUUCGGUUCAUAGUUUUUCUCACUCUAAAAUCAGCAAAAAUCAGGUGCAGCAGUAUAGCAAAAAGUUGUAACUAUACAAAUAUUACCUAU
Non-coding RNA from Carassius auratus (goldfish), 644 nucleotides. The record is from the annotation of a RefSeq genome assembly. NCBI's taxonomy places the organism in Eukaryota, Metazoa, Chordata, Actinopteri, Cypriniformes, Cyprinidae.